GAUGAACGCUGGCGGCGUGCCUAAUACAUGCAAGUCGAGCGAACAGACGAGGAGCUUGCUCCUCUGAUGUUAGCGGCGGACGGGUGAGUAACACGUGGAUAACCUACCUAUAAGACUGGGAUAACUUCGGGAAACCGGAGCUAAUACCGGAUAACAUAUUGAACCGCAUGGUUCAACAGUGAAAGACGGUCUUGCUGUCACUUAUAGAUGGAUCCGCGCCGCAUUAGCUAGUUGGUAAGGUAACGGCUUACCAAGGCAACGAUGCGUAGCCGACCUGAGAGGGUGAUCGGCCACACUGGAACUGAGACACGGUCCAGACUCCUACGGGAGGCAGCAGUAGGGAAUCUUCCGCAAAGGGCGAAAGCCUGACGGAGCAACGCCGCGUGAGUGAAGAAGGUCUUCGGAUCGUAAAACUCUGUUAUUAGGGAAGAACAAAUGUGUAAGUAACUAUGCACGUCUUGACGGUACCUAAUCAGAAAGCCACGGCUAACUACGUG
This 497-nucleotide ribosomal RNA is filed under the name uncultured bacterium. RNAcentral's name for it is "partial 16S ribosomal RNA". It matches the Rfam family "Bacterial small subunit ribosomal RNA", at positions 28 to 507 of the family's 1533-position model. The record is from RNAcentral.